Molecule: ribosomal RNA, 484 nt
Filed under: uncultured bacterium
Lineage: Bacteria
Description: partial 16S ribosomal RNA
Rfam family: Bacterial small subunit ribosomal RNA
Source: RNAcentral
AGUGAACGCUGGCGGCGUGCUUAACACAUGCAAGUCGAACGAGAACGGGUUAUAGCUUGCUAUAAUUGUCAGCUAAGUGGCGCACGGGUGAGUAAUGUAUAGGUAAUAUGCCUCUUACUAAGGGAUAACAAAUGGAAACGUUUGCUAAUACCUUAUACUCCUUAUUAACAGAAGUUAAUAAGGGAAAGAUUUAUUGGUAAGAGAUUAGCCUGUAUUGUAUCAGUUAGUUGGUGGGGUAAUGGCCUACCAAGACUAUGACACAUAACUGGUUUGAGAGGAUGAUCAGUCACACUGGAACUCAGACACGGUCCAGACUCCUACGGGAGGCAGCAGUGGGGAAUAUUGCACAAUGGACGAAAGUCUGAUGCAGCAACGCCGCGUGGAGGAUGACACAUUUCGGUGCGUAAACUCCUUUUAUAUGAGAAGAUAAUGACGGUAUUAUGUGAAUAAGCACCGGCUAACUCCGUGCCAGCAGCCGCCGUAA